Molecule: RNA transcript, 5322 nt
Organism: Brachypodium distachyon (stiff brome)
Lineage: Eukaryota; Viridiplantae; Streptophyta; Magnoliopsida; Poales; Poaceae
Gene name: UPF0481 protein At3g47200
Exons: 5
Source: RefSeq, a predicted model, not a curated record
CUAUUCGCGUGCGCGUCUCGACAGGACUCCGGGACGGCUUCUAGAGGUCAGGCAUUCCUUGCUUGGCUCCAUCAUUGCCUUCCCCCGCAUCUCUUACUCUAAGCCAUCGUGUGUGCCCUCGCCGAGUCGCCGCCGGUCGUUCCGCCCGCAGACCCUCCCCCUGAUAUUGGGAGGUGUUUCGGUAGUCCCGUCGGCUUCUUACUAAAAUCUCCGCCGCGCCCUGCUUCGAGGCGAAGAUGGAGGUGGUGACGGGGGCGAUGAGCACCCUUCUGCCCAAGUUGGUUAACCUGAUCAAGGACGAGUAUUGUCUGCAGAAGAAGGUUAGGGGAGAAAUCAUGUUCCUCACAGCCGAGUUGGAGAGAAUGGAGGCUGCCCUGCUAGAGGUUUCGGAGGCGCCGAUUGACCACCCACCUAGUAAGCUGGUCAAGCUUUGGGCCAAGGAUGUCAAGGAUCUUUCCUACGAAAUCGAGGACAGCAUCGACAGAUUCGUGGUGCGCCUCGACAGCCGUGAAGAAAAAAAGGUGCAGAGCUUUAUGGGUUUCAUCUAUAGGAGCAUCGACCUGUUGACCAAGGCUAAGAUUCGCCGCAAGGUCGGCACCGAGGUCAAAGGCAUCAAGAGCCGCAUCAAGGAGGUCACUGCACGGCGUGAGAGGUAUAAGCUGGACAAAGUUGUUGUACAGCCUGUUGGCACAAGUAUUGAUAGCCUUCGCCUAUCAGCUCUAUACAAAGAGGAGACGAAACUUGUUGGCAUUGAAGAGAGAAUGAAAGAGCUAGUCAACAUGCUGAUGGAGGAGGCAGAUGAGGCAUCGAAGCAGCAGCUGAAGAUAGUCUCGGUUGUUGGUUUUGGAGGAUUAGGCAAGACGACUCUUGCUAAUGUUGUGUAUCAGAAGCUUAAAUCCCAAUUCGAUUGUGGGGCUUUUGUUUCCAUGUCUCUUAAUCCUAACAUUGAGAAGAUUUUUAAGAACAUACUGCAUCAACUUGACAAGCAGAAGUAUAGUAGCAUCAAUGAAGCAACAUGGAGUGAAGCACAGCUUAUCAGCGAGCUAAGAGAUUUUCUUCGAAACAAGAGGUAUUUCAUUGUGAUUGAUGACAUAUGGAACAGUUCUGUAUGGAAAACACUCAAACAUGCUCUGGUUGAGAACAAAUGUGGAAGUAGAGUAAUCAUGACAACUCGCAUUCUUGAUGUUGCCAAAGAAGUUGCUGCUGUGUUAGACCUAAAGCCUCUUUCCCCUAUUGACUCAAGAAAGUUAUUCUACCAAACAAUGUUUGGUGUUGAAGACAAAUGUCCUCCUAAUCAAUUAGCUGAAAUAUCUGAGAACAUUUUAAAGAUAUGCGGUGGAGUACCAUUAGCUAUCAUUACAACAGCUAGUAUGCUAGCUACUAAAGGUGGAGAUGAUUGGUUGAAAGUGUACCAAUCUAUGGGUUCUGGGCUACUAGAUAGUCCUGAUAUGAAGGACAUGAGAAGGAUAUUAUCAAUCAGUUACUACGACCUACCAGCACAUUUAAGGACAUGUUUGUUGUUUAUCAGUAUCUAUCCAGAGGAUUAUACGAUUGUAGCUGAAGAUUUGAUAUGGCAAUGGAUUGGUGAAGGCUUUGUUCAGGAAGAACAUGGGAGGAGCUUGUAUGAAGUAGGAGAGGACUACUUUCAUGAGCUCAUUAACAAAAGCUUGAUUCAACCUGUAGAUAUUAAGAGUGGUAAUAAAGCGAGCGCUUGUCGUGUACAUGAUAUGGUGCGUGACCUUGUCACUUCCUUGUCAAGUGAAGAGAAUUUUCUAACAAUAUUAGGUGAUCUGCAACCUGUGUCUGCAUCAAGCAAGAUCCAUCGACUUUCUGUACAAAAAAUAAAUGAAGAUGAUUUCAAGCAGUUGGCAACCAUGAGCUUGUUCCAUGCGAGGUCACUUUUUGUAUUUGGGCAAGAUAUGAAUUUGUUGCCCGCGCUCUCAAGCUUUCCAGUCUUGCGCGCGUUGGAUUUAAGUUGUUGUUUGAAUGUGGAUAAUUAUCAUGUUAAGAUUAUUUGUAGUAUGUUUCACUUAAGGUAUUUGUCGCUAUGCAACACAUCCAUCACUAAGAUUCCGGUAGAGAUUGGGAAUCUGCAGUUCUUGAAGGUACUGGACAUAAGUCAGACUGGCAUAGAAGUGUUGCCAUCAGAAUUUGUGCAGCUAACACAACUAGUGUACCUGCAUAUUGACAUGUCAGUGAGAUUGCCGGAAGGUCUUUGGAACUUAAAAUCUCUGCAAGAUUUUCCAGGUAUCUAUGUCACGUCUCCAACCAUGCUGCAUGAUCUGAGCAAGUUGACGAAAUUGAGGAAUGUUCUUAUCAAGGUUGAUGAAUGGAACGGCAGCUAUGAGGAACCUUUCCGGCAGUGUCUCUCCAACCUGGUCAAUCUCAAAACCAUUAGAAUAAAUGGUGCCAAUCUCAGCCUAGAUUUUGGAGGUGAAAAUUUGUCACCGGGGCCUCAACAGCUUCACUCCAUUCAUCUGAUCAAUUUCAUCAACUGUGCAAUGCCUAGAUGGAUGUCCUCCCUCUCCUGCCUCUCUUUUCUUGUAAUCCAUGGUUUGAAAACACUGAGAGUGGAGGACCUUCAAGUCCUUGGGAGCAUACCAUCUCUGUGUGAUCUCGACAUAUGGGUUGUUGAACCUACACAAGAGAGACACAGUAGAUUGUUGAUUGACAGUAGCUAUCCGUUCCAGUGUCUAACAAGUCUCAAGAUCGCCAGUCGCGUUAUGGAGCUGAAGUUUGCUCAAGGAGCCAUGCAAAAACUCCAAACCCUGAAGAUACGUUUAUCGGUGCGGCAAACAUGGGACCAAUUUGGAAAUUUGGAUUUCGGCCUGGAGAAUGUUUCUUCGCUUAAGCAUGUCUAUGUAGGGAGGUGGUCCAAGCCUGACCCUGGGGAGGUUGAGGCUGCAGAGGCUAUAAUUCGGAAAGCACUCGACGUGAAUCCCAGCAAGCCGACGCUCGUGUUCAGCAAGGUCGUUUUGUUUUUCUGUACCUUCCGCGCAUAUUGAUACUUAUGUCAGUAACUUACUUUGGCAUGUAUUGGAAGUGGCGAUGAUGCAUCGGCGUAGCUAGCAGACCAAUAUAUGCAUCUUGCAAGUAAUAGAUGUUGGGUGAUCUCUGAUGUUUCUCAUCUAUCAGUGCAUCAUGAACCACACAAGACAAAAGCUUCUUUCUCGAAGCAGAUGAUAUGUUCUUUCUUGAUGGAUUAGUGCGUGACGAACCACAGAAGACAGAAAUUUCAUACUCUAAGAUCAUCAAUAAUCUGCAAAAAUGUACGUGUUCCUUUAGUACUUUAGCUACUAUUUCUGCCCGUUAGCUGAUCACUGAUCCUUAUUAUCUUCUAUUAUUUUUAUCUAGCAGUGUUGAUUUCUCUUUUCAAAGUGUCAGCAGGCUACUUAACCCUACAAGUAUUGCAUCCAAUAAAUAAUCUGUUGUGGAGAUAAUUCAUGGUGUGGUGAUGAUAAAUCGUAGCAUACUCUCGGCCAUGUGAUUUUUUUGAGAGAGGCAAGGGCUAUGCCAAUUUCAUGAAGAGAAAACCAAAAAACAAGCCAGAGUAAUUAUCAUUAACAAGAAUCCUGAACCCACAAAAGGACACUAUCUUGUGUACAGGACCUACCACUGAACUCUGUGAAAUGUCCACCAUUGCCCUGUAGGCCACCUCCACCGCCUGUAGCGUUUCCUCUUGGAGGAUCUCGCUGGGACUGUUUCUUUUCCUCCCAUACAUUCCAGAGCAUGUAUAAGAGUCUACGAUCAUUCUUCCUAUAUAUUUCGUGCAUUAUCACUAUCAAACAAGAGGUUGAUAACAUGCAUUUAGUUGCAUGUUUGAGAGAACAAAAACUCAACGUUUGAUGGUUCUGUCUCCCCUCCAACAGGAGAGAAGCCUGCAGGUUCAGGACUGGUUGCAAUUUAACACCCAAAAGAAAAAAAGAAAAAAACAGCCUCGUUGCACAAAAACUUUUUAGCCAAACAUGAUAACCAGCCACUGUUUCCUACAGCCUAAAACCAGACCCAGGAACUAGAUAGAAGAACACACCCAUAUCAAAACCUGGGCAUUAACCUGCUAUCCGCAGAACCAUGGGUGCCCAUCCUUGUUUGUGGCUGAACACUUCAGCCACUACUUACAGCCGCAAUCUUGCUCCUUGGCACUGUAUUUCUUGUAAACCUGCAGCCCAAUAUGAAAACCACUGAUCUGUCUGAGCUACGAUGGUAGUUGGAUCAUAAAGAAAUACAUGCCUAAAAUAUGCUGCAUUCCUAAUUUUCGACAAGGCCCAAAAAAAAGCUGCUAUACCUACUGGAUACUGCAACUAGAUUCCUCAUUUGACCAUAAACAAUUAAACACACAAGACCCAUGAAAUCAACUCAGAUAAAUCUUAUAAGUUCGACUUUGACCUGCCUACAUUUAUGCAUGCAUCAUAUGCAGCGAGUACGAUACUCUUUGUACUUGACUAAUUUUUGCUUUGGGACUAUCUAUCACUGGAAAUUUGCAGCUUCUAGGUGUAUGCAUGGAACAAGGAUACCCUUUGGAUUUUGAAUGUGCAUUAAGUAUUAUUUCAUACUCUUUGUUUUCCAUUUGUUGGUGCUAUCCAUGGUUUUAAAUAGCAUGCUAAGUGAUUUAGCGUCAGCCUCCUCCAGCUGUUACAGAUGCUAUAGCGUGCUAUACGGACGCUAAAUCAUUUGGUGUUUUGUAAAAUAAAUGGUGCAUAUGGCGCAGAAACAAGGGAGUUCAGCAGAUAUUCAGCAGAAACAUGAUAUAAAUACUUGCCCAGGACGAUUACAGGCACAAUCCCAUAAGCAAAUAGGUGUCCAAAUGGCCAAACUCCAUGGCAUAAACACAAGUCCAUAAGGCAGUUGCUGCGACAUUUGUUCGUGCCGCCCAGCCGUGGUGCCAUGGUGAUCUUGAAGAAGGGAUGGUGUGUCGGAGCAGGAAUGGAGUAGCCGUGGUGCCCCUCACCGCCAGUUUCAGCACAGGGAAGCAACCUCUCGUCUCUGCACUUAUCCACCGCAAGAGGUGAGACCGUGAGAGUGGGGAACAGGGAGGUGUUAGGUUUUUUGGUCGAUCAGGAGCAGAUUAGACAUCCUGGGUCUUCAUUUGGGCCGAAAGAGGGCUGCAAAUUGAAUGGGUUUCAUCUGAUAACCUACUCCUGGAAUAGCGCUGCUAUCACGAUCAUAUUGGCUGUAGAGGAGAAAACGGAGCCUAAGUGUAGCAGCAACUCCCUCUCAGACGCUAUCACGGGGUGCUAUUUUUUCAUUGUGCUGUCAUGAUAUGGACAUGCUAACCAUGGAUACGACCAUUAGAACCCUAAUUGUUGGUGUCUCUAAUAAUUA